AUUGAACGCUGGCGGCAUGCCUUACACAUGCAAGUCGAACGGUAACAGGUCUUCGGAUGCUGACGAGUGGCGAACGGGUGAGUAAUACAUCGGAACGUGCCCGAUCGUGGGGGAUAACGGAGCGAAAGCUUUGCUAAUACCGCAUACGAUCUACGGAUGAAAGCAGGGGACCGCAAGGCCUUGCGCGGACGGAGCGGCCGAUGGCAGAUUAGGUAGUUGGUGGGAUAAAAGCUUACCAAGCCGACGAUCUGUAGCUGGUCUGAGAGGACGACCAGCCACACUGGGACUGAGACACGGCCCAGACUCCUACGGGAGGCAGCAGUGGGGAAUUUUAGACAAUGGGCGAAAGCCUGAUCCAGCCAUGCCGCGUGCAGGAUGAAGGCCUUCGGGUUGUAAACUGCUUUUGUACGGAACGAAAAGACUCUUUCUAAUAAAGAGGGUCCAUGACGGUACCGUAAGAAUAAGCACCGGCUAACUACGUG
Molecule: ribosomal RNA, 482 nt
Filed under: uncultured bacterium
Lineage: Bacteria
Description: partial 16S ribosomal RNA
Rfam family: Bacterial small subunit ribosomal RNA
Source: RNAcentral